RNAcentral lists this transfer RNA (85 nucleotides) under Candidatus Bathycorpusculaceae archaeon. RNAcentral describes it as "tRNA-Leu". It matches the Rfam family "tRNA". Rfam says of the family: Transfer RNA (tRNA) molecules are approximately 80 nucleotides in length. Their secondary structure includes four short double-helical elements and three loops (D, anti-codon, and T loops). Further hydrogen bonds mediate the characteristic L-shaped molecular structure. tRNAs have two regions of fundamental functional importance: the anti-codon, which is responsible for specific mRNA codon recognition, and the 3' end, to which the tRNAs corresponding amino acid is attached (by aminoacyl-tRNA synthetases). tRNAs cope with the degeneracy of the genetic code in two manners: having more than one tRNA (with a specific anti-codon) for a particular amino acid; and 'wobble' base-pairing, i.e. permitting non-standard base-pairing at the 3rd anti-codon position. The record is from RNAcentral. Lineage: Archaea; Thermoproteati; Candidatus Bathyarchaeota; Bathyarchaeia (SeqCode); Bathyarchaeales (SeqCode); Candidatus Bathycorpusculaceae.
GCGGGGGUCUCCCAGUCUGGUCAAAGGAGCAGGGCUUAGGACCCUGUCGCAUAGGCGUUCGUGGGUUCAAAUCCCACCUCCCGCA